RNAcentral lists this ribosomal RNA (435 nucleotides) under uncultured bacterium. Its description in RNAcentral is "bacterial SSU rRNA". It matches the Rfam family "Bacterial small subunit ribosomal RNA", at positions 957 to 1392 of the family's 1533-position model. The record is from RNAcentral.
GAACGCGAAGAACCUUACCAGGUCUUGACAUCCAAAGAACCUUUACGAAAGUAAGGGGUGCCUUCGGGAGCUUUGAGACAGGUGGUGCAUGGUUGUCGUCAGCUCGUGUCGUGAGAUGUUGGGUUAAGUCCCGCAACGAGCGCAACCCUUGCUAUUAGUUGCUAACAUUUCGGAUGAGCACUCUAAUGGGACUGCCCGUGACAAGCGGGAGGAAGGUGGGGAUGACGUCAAAUCAUCAUGCCCUUUAUGAUCUGGGCUACACACGUGCUACAAUGGAUGGUACAGAGAGCAGCGAGGCCGCGAGGUGGAGCGAAUCUCAAAAAGCCAUUCUCAGUUCGGAUUGGAGUCUGCAACUCGACUCCAUGAAGCCGGAAUCGCUAGUAAUCGCGAAUCAGAACGUCGCGGUGAAUGCGUUCCCGGGCCUUGUACACACCG